GAUUUCAACUGAAAAAGUCAUCAACAACAAAGUUCAAUAACUCAUCAAGAUCUAAAACUUUUAUUUUGGUCAUUUCUUCAUCCGAUAAAGUGAUAGUAAUAUUGUUCAUAAAAUUGACAUAUCUCUUAUCUGGUUUUAUAAACUAUAACACAGGUGUGUAAAUUUUGUGAACAAUGUUACUAACACUUUGUCGGAUGAAGAAAUAACAAAAAUAAAAGUUUUAGAUCUUCUUGAGUUAUAAAACUUUGUUGUUGAUGACUUUUUCGGUUGAAAUU
Non-coding RNA from Oryza barthii, 275 nucleotides. The record is from Rfam. Lineage: Eukaryota; Viridiplantae; Streptophyta; Magnoliopsida; Poales; Poaceae.